GAUGAACGCUGGCGGCGUGCCUAAUACAUGCAAGUCGAGCGAACAGACGAGGAGCUUGCUCCUCUGAUGUUAGCGGCGGACGGGUGAGUAACACGUGGAUAACCUACCUAUAAGACUGGGAUAACUUCGGGAAACCGGAGCUAAUACCGGAUAAUCUAUUGAACCGCAUGGUUCAAUAGUGAAAGAAGGUUUUGCUGUCACUUAUAGAUGGAUCCGCGCCGCAUUAGCUAGUUGGUAAGGUAACGGCUUACCAAGGCCACGAUGCGUAGCCGACCUGAGAGGGUGAUCGGCCACACUGGAACUGAGACACGGUCCAGGCUCCUACGGGAGGCAGCAGUAGGGAAUCUUCCGCGAUGGGCGAAAGCCUGACGGAGCAACGCCGCGUGAGUGAUGAAGGUCUUCGGAGCGUAAAACUCUGUUAUUAGGGAAGAACAAAUGUGUAAGUAACUAUGCACGUCUUGACGGUACCUAAGCAGAGAGCCACGGCUAACUACGUG
This 497-nucleotide ribosomal RNA is filed under the name uncultured bacterium. Its description in RNAcentral is "partial 16S ribosomal RNA". It matches the Rfam family "Bacterial small subunit ribosomal RNA", at positions 28 to 507 of the family's 1533-position model. The record is from RNAcentral.